RNAcentral lists this ribosomal RNA (777 nucleotides) under uncultured Neocallimastigales. RNAcentral describes it as "partial large subunit ribosomal RNA". It matches the Rfam family "Eukaryotic large subunit ribosomal RNA", at positions 23 to 634 of the family's 3401-position model. The record is from RNAcentral. Lineage: Eukaryota; Fungi; Neocallimastigomycota; Neocallimastigomycetes; Neocallimastigales.
AAGAGAGAGACAUGCGCGCAUAUCAAUAAGCGGAGGAAAAGAAACUAACAAGGAUUCCCUUAGUAACGGCGAGUGAAGCGGGAAGAGCUCAAAUUUGAAAUCUUCAAGGUUCUACCUUGACGAAUUGUAGUUUAAAGAAGUGUUUUCUGCUGAAGUUUUGGUAAAAGUUCUUUGGAAUAGGACAUCAUAGAGGGUGAGAAUCCCGUAUUUGACCAUUAUUUUCCAGCUUUGUGAUACACUUUCAAAGAGUCGGAUUGUUUGGGAAUGCAGUCCAAAAUGGGUGGUAAAUUUCAUCUAAAGCUAAAUAUUGGCGAGAGACCGAUAGCGAACAAGUACCGUGAGGGAAAGAUGAAAAGAACUUUGAAAAGAGAGUUAAACAGUACGUGAAAUUGUCAAAAGGGAAGCGUUUGACACCAGUGUUGUUUUCUCGAAAAUCAAUUAAAAAUGGCUCGAUUUUGUAUUGUUGAGACCUUAAAAGCUCACUGUACAUUUUUCGUGUCUUUUUUAAUGCACUUUUCGUUUAACAAGUCAACAUCAGUUUCUUUUGUUGUAAAAGGGUCAUUGGAAGGUGGCUUUCUUUUCGGAGAAAGUGUUUAUAGCCUUUGGCCUCUGCAAUCGGAAGAGACUGAGGUCUGCAGCGUAGACUCUUCGGGGUUAGAUACAUUUGUGCUAAGUUAUAGCUUUUUAUAGACAACUUGUUGACUAUAAUUAGUCUUGUAGCUUACUCGCUUAUGCUAUUUUACCUACGCUUAGGAUGUUGAAGAUGUAGCACAUCAU